Anser brachyrhynchus (Pink-footed goose) is the source of this 132-nucleotide small nucleolar RNA. The record is from Ensembl. NCBI's taxonomy places the organism in Eukaryota, Metazoa, Chordata, Aves, Anseriformes, Anatidae.
GGUGAGGUCUAUCCCGAUAGGAUCUCUGCUGUAGGUUCAUGUCGUUGGAAACGCCUCACAGAACAAACUUGUGGUUUAGUUUUACCCACUGAACUACCUGUUAGCUCUGUGGGAUAAAACUACAAGACAAAC